UGUCCCAUGGCUUAGUUGGUUACGGCGUCCGACUGUUAAGCUCUCACAUCGGAAGAUCGAGAGUUCAAGUCUCUCUGGGACAG
Transfer RNA from Termitomyces sp. J132, 83 nucleotides. It matches the Rfam family "tRNA". Rfam says of the family: Transfer RNA (tRNA) molecules are approximately 80 nucleotides in length. Their secondary structure includes four short double-helical elements and three loops (D, anti-codon, and T loops). Further hydrogen bonds mediate the characteristic L-shaped molecular structure. tRNAs have two regions of fundamental functional importance: the anti-codon, which is responsible for specific mRNA codon recognition, and the 3' end, to which the tRNAs corresponding amino acid is attached (by aminoacyl-tRNA synthetases). tRNAs cope with the degeneracy of the genetic code in two manners: having more than one tRNA (with a specific anti-codon) for a particular amino acid; and 'wobble' base-pairing, i.e. permitting non-standard base-pairing at the 3rd anti-codon position. NCBI's taxonomy places the organism in Eukaryota, Fungi, Basidiomycota, Agaricomycetes, Agaricales, Lyophyllaceae. The record is from Rfam.